This 847-nucleotide ribosomal RNA is filed under the name Zasmidium citrigriseum. Its description in RNAcentral is "eukaryotic LSU rRNA". It matches the Rfam family "Eukaryotic large subunit ribosomal RNA", at positions 47 to 935 of the family's 3401-position model. Lineage: Eukaryota; Fungi; Ascomycota; Dothideomycetes; Mycosphaerellales; Mycosphaerellaceae. The record is from RNAcentral.
UAAGCGGAGGAAACCAACAGGGAUUGCCCUAGUAACGGCGAGUGAAGCGGCAACAGCUCAAAUUUGAAACCUGGCGCUUGCGUCCGGAUUGUAAUUUGUAGAGGAUGCUUCUGGGCAGCGGCCGUUCUAAGUUCCUUGGAACAGGACGUCAUAGAGGGUGAGAAUCCCGUAUGUGACCGGCGCGCACCCUCCACGUAGCUCCUUCGACGAGUCGAGUUGUUUGGGAAUGCAGCUCUAAAUGGGAGGUAAAUUUCUUCUAAAGCUAAAUAUUGGCCAGAGACCGAUAGCGCACAAGUAGAGUGAUCGAAAGAUGAAAAGCACUUUGGAAAGAGAGUUAAAAAGCACGUGAAAUUGUUGAAAGGGAAGCGCUUCCAACCAGACUCCGCGGCGGUGUUCCGCCGGUCUUCUGACCGGUCCACUCGCCGCCGUGGGGCCAACAUCGUCUGGGGCCGCCGGAUAAGACCGGAGGAAUGUAGCUCAUUGAGUGUUAUAGCCUCCGGUGAUGCGGCGCGUCCCGGGCGAGGUCCGCGCUUCGGCAAGGAUGUUGGCGUAAUGGUUGGCAGCGGCCCGUCUUGAAACACGGACCAAGGAGUCUAACAUCUAUGCGAGUGUUCGGGUGUCAAACCCCUACGCGCAAUGAAAGUGAACGGAGGUGGGAGCUUCGGCGCACCAUCGACCGAUCCUGAUGUCCUCGGAUGGAUUUGAGUAAGAGCAUAGCUGUUGGGACCCGAAAGAUGGUGAACUAUGCCUGAAUAGGGUGAAGCCAGAGGAAACUCUGGUGGAGGCUCGCAGCGGUUCUGACGUGCAAAUCGAUCGUCAAAUUUGGGUAUAGGGGCGAAAGACUAAU